Molecule: ribosomal RNA, 254 nt
Filed under: uncultured bacterium
Lineage: Bacteria
Description: partial 16S ribosomal RNA
Rfam family: Bacterial small subunit ribosomal RNA
Source: RNAcentral
UACGUAGGGUGCAAGCGUUAAUCGGAAUUACUGGGCGUAAAGCGUGCGCAGGCGGUUUUGUAAGUUUGUCGUGAAAGCCCCGGGCUCAACCUGGGAAUUGCGAUGAAGACUGCAAGGCUUGAAUCUGGCAGAGGGGGGUAGAAUUCCGACGUGUAGCAGUGAAAUGCGUAGAGAUGUGGAGGAACACCGAUGGCGAAGGCAGCCCCCUGGGUCAAGAUUGACGCUCGUGCACGAAAGCGUGGGGAGCAAACAGG